This 486-nucleotide ribosomal RNA is filed under the name uncultured bacterium. RNAcentral describes it as "partial 16S ribosomal RNA". It matches the Rfam family "Bacterial small subunit ribosomal RNA", at positions 30 to 507 of the family's 1533-position model. The record is from RNAcentral.
AUUGAACGCUGGCGGCAUGCCUUACACAUGCAAGUCGAACGGCAGCACGGGUGCUUGCACCUGGGGGCGAGUGGCGAACGGGUGAGUAAUACAUCGGAACAUGUCCUGUAGUGGGGGAUAGCCCGGCGAAAGCCGGAUUAAUACCGCAUACGAUCUACGGAUGAAAGCGGGGGACCUUCGGGCCUCGCGCUAUAGGGUUGGCCGAUGGCUGAUUAGCUAGUUGGUGGGGUAAAGGCCUACCAAGGCGACGAUCAGUAGCUGGUCUGAGAGGACGACCGGCCACACUGGGACUGAGACACGGCCCAGACUCCUACGGGAGGCAGCAGUGGGGAAUUUUGGACAAUGGGCGAAAGCCUGAUCCAGCAAUGCCGCGUGUGUGAAGAAGGCCUUCGGGUUGUAAAGCACUUUUGUCCGGAAAGAAAUCCUUGGCCCUAAUACGGUCGGGGGAUGACGGUACCGGAAGAAUAAGCACCGGCUAACUACGUG